RNAcentral lists this ribosomal RNA (547 nucleotides) under Nassarius sp. MNHN IM 2007-35738. RNAcentral's name for it is "partial 12S ribosomal RNA". The record is from RNAcentral. Lineage: Eukaryota; Metazoa; Mollusca; Gastropoda; Neogastropoda; Nassariidae.
CGCGGUUAUACCAAGUGAUUAAGUUAUAUUUUUAGGUAAAAAGACAGUUAGGUUUAAUAUAUAAGCUUAUUAAACAUUUAUAAAAAAGUAAAAUUUGUAUAUAAAUAGCUAAUCUAAAAAUAGCUAAAUAAUACUGAAGCUGUGAUAGUCUUGAGGGAAACUGGGAUUAGAUACCCCAUUAUUCUUGAUUGUAAAUAUAAUUAAAUUUACCAGAGUACUAUGAAUAGUUAAAAAUUUAAAACUCAAAGGGCUUGGCGGUGUUUUAGACCUAUCAGGGGAACCUGUCUCGUAAUCGACAAUCCACGUAAUAUCUAACCUUAUUUUGUAAUCAGUUUGUAUACCGUCGUCGUCAGGUAACUUUUAAAAAUAUAGAAGUUAGCAAUUAAAACUAUUUUAAGUUAAAACGUCAGAUCAAGGUGCAGCCUAUAAUAAGGAGAGGAUGGGUUACAAUUAUAAAAAUUAUAAUUAUGGAAAUUUAAAUGGAACUUAUUUUGAAGGAGGACUUGAAAGUAAACUAAAAUACAUAAAUAGUUUGAAUAAGGCUCUG